AGUGAACGCUGGCGGUAGGCCUAACACAUGCAAGUCGAACGGCAGCACAGUAAGAGCUUGCUCUUACGGGUGGCGAGUGGCGGACGGGUGAGGAAUACAUCGGAAUCUACUUUUUCGUGGGGGAUAACGUAGGGAAACUUACGCUAAUACCGCAUACGACCUACGGGUGAAAGCAGGGGAUCUUCGGACCUUGCGCGAUUGAAUGAGCCGAUGUCGGAUUAGCUAGUUGGCGGGGUAAAGGCCCACCAAGGCGACGAUCCGUAGCUGGUCUGAGAGGAUGGUCAGCCACACUGGAACUGAGACACGGUCCAGACUCCUACGGGAGGCAGCAGUGGGGAAUAUUGGACAAUGGGCGCAAGCCUGAUCCAGCCAUACCGCGUGGGUGAAGAAGGCCUUCGGGUUGUAAAGCCCUUUUGUUGGGAAAGAAAAGCAGCAGGUUAAUACCCCGCUGUUCUGACGGUACCCAAAGAAUAAACACCGGCGAACUUCGU
Molecule: ribosomal RNA, 491 nt
Filed under: uncultured bacterium
Lineage: Bacteria
Description: partial 16S ribosomal RNA
Rfam family: Bacterial small subunit ribosomal RNA
Source: RNAcentral